AACGAACGCUGGCGGCAUGCCUAACACAUGCAAGUCGAACGAUGCUUUCGGGCAUAGUGGCGCACGGGUGCGUAACGCGUGGGAAUCUGCCCUUGGGUUCGGAAUAACAGUGAGAAAUUGCUGCUAAUACCGGAUGAUGUCUUCGGACCAAAGAUUUAUCGCCCAGGGAUGAGCCCGCGUAGGAUUAGCUAGUUGGUGGGGUAAUGGCCUACCAAGGCGACGAUCCUUAGCUGGUCUGAGAGGAUGAUCAGCCACACUGGGACUGAGACACGGCCCAGACGUGGGCGGGAGGCAGCAGUGGGGAAUAUGGGAGACUGGGCGCAAGCCGGAUACAGCGAUGCGGGGUGAGUGAUGAAGUCUGUAGGUUUGUAAAGCUCUUUUACCUGGGAUGAUAAGGACAGUACGGGGAGAAUAAGCUCCGGCGAACUCCGUGCCAGCAGCCGCGGUAAUAAGCGGAAAGAAACCGUCUGAAC
This 473-nucleotide ribosomal RNA is filed under the name uncultured bacterium. Its description in RNAcentral is "partial 16S ribosomal RNA". It matches the Rfam family "Bacterial small subunit ribosomal RNA", at positions 33 to 541 of the family's 1533-position model. The record is from RNAcentral.